UCGGGUUUUGUUACUGGUGGAUCUGCUCUAUUGCAUGGUGCUACUCAGACAAGUGCCUCACCCUGGUCUUCAGCAUCAAUGAUAUUUCCUCCAGCCCUAGGCAUGCCUUUAAAUGCUGAAUGGAAUGGGUAUCAGCUCUUUUGAGAAUUGACAAUACGCUUGCUUUGCUAUUUCAUAGCUGCAUGAUCAAGUUGUGGAAAAGUUUACUUGCAUACCAUCUCCAAGGAUUUGGCACAUCUAAUAGUUUCACUUUGGUUCUUCAGCAGUUUCUUUCGAAAUUACUCAUUACACUUCUAGGGCGAGUACGAACUACAGAAAGUUUUUGUUUUUGGUUAAGUUAAAAUAUGCAUUUAUCGGAAUCAUGGAAGUUCAAGUUCAUGUUUCGAGAUUCUACAAGACUAAUUUUAUUGUUUUAUCUAUUUAUUAUGAA
Coffea eugenioides is the source of this 430-nucleotide long non-coding RNA. RefSeq lists it as uncharacterized. The transcript has 4 exons. Lineage: Eukaryota; Viridiplantae; Streptophyta; Magnoliopsida; Gentianales; Rubiaceae. The record is from RefSeq and is a predicted model, not a curated record.